AAAGUUCUUUCGUGGAGGACGAAAAGGUGGGUGCUAAUAUCGCCUGCUGUUGACGUGAAUCCAAGAAGAAGCACCGGCUAACUCCGUGCCAGCAGCCGCSGUAAUACGGGGGGUGCAAGCGUUAAUCGGAAUCACUGGGCGUAAAGGGUGCGUAGGCGGUGCAUUAGGUCUGUCGUGAAAUSCCCSSSCUCAACCUGGGAAUGGCGGUGGAAACSGGUGUACSAGAGUAUGGGAGAGGGUGGUGGAAUUCCAGGUGUAGCGGUGAAUGCG
This 270-nucleotide ribosomal RNA is filed under the name Acidithiobacillus thiooxidans. RNAcentral describes it as "partial 16S ribosomal RNA". It matches the Rfam family "Bacterial small subunit ribosomal RNA", at positions 427 to 690 of the family's 1533-position model. The record is from RNAcentral. Lineage: Bacteria; Pseudomonadati; Pseudomonadota; Acidithiobacillia; Acidithiobacillales; Acidithiobacillaceae.